Long non-coding RNA from Triplophysa dalaica, 617 nucleotides. RefSeq lists it as uncharacterized. The record is from RefSeq and is a predicted model, not a curated record. The transcript is spliced from 3 exons. NCBI's taxonomy places the organism in Eukaryota, Metazoa, Chordata, Actinopteri, Cypriniformes, Nemacheilidae.
GGAGGCUUUUGUCAGCAGAGAGGUCUUCGUCCACUUUCAUUAGAUCAAAUCUACGUGAAUCGCCAUCACAUGAUCACAUAAAAGAUGACUGAAUCCUUGAAAUCUGACUAGAUGGAGAAGGCCGAGUCCCCGCUGCCACCGUGGAUCAAAUGAAACAACAAGGGCAAUGGCAGCUAAUGUGGGGAGCUGUUUAGUACAGGGCUGCCUUUUGAAAUGAUGAUGAUAAUGGAUUCAGUCCGCUCAUUAAUGGAGUCCGAGUGCUCGUUAGAGUGAACAAACAAGCCAGCCUGUCAGCACUGGAAAUGCCAAGUGCCGGCAACUGUCUGCGUUUUAUCUGAGGACGCCACGUUCUCGCCAUUUACCCACCUACACCACCCCCCACAUCAAAGUGAACGCUGCAGCGCCAUCGCCCGUCACCCUCAGAGGCGGGUCGGGCCAUGGAGUCGCCAGGUCAAGAGGACUGAAAUCGACUCCAUACAAACAGGGUCAUACUAGGGAAUGUAGUGUACCUGAAUGUCACAGAGAUUUGGGGACGCUGUCUUUUUAUACACAGUCUGGUACGUUAACCUAGCAAGCACCCUUUUAAGCAUAUAGCAAAGAAAAUGUGUAAAUUCUUA